This 193-nucleotide unclassified non-coding RNA is filed under the name uncultured Exophiala. RNAcentral describes it as "sequence contains ITS2". Lineage: Eukaryota; Fungi; Ascomycota; Eurotiomycetes; Chaetothyriales; Herpotrichiellaceae. The record is from RNAcentral.
UCACCCCUCAAGCCCUCGGCUUGGUGUUGGACGGUUUGGUGGAGACCCCUUUGCGGGCUGCUACCCCUCCCAAAGACAAUGACGGCGGCCUCGUUGGACCCCCGGUACAUUGAGUUCUUCACGGGACACGUAUCGGAUACAUGGGUUUACGGGACACGGUCUACCUCCCCUCAGGGAGAAUCUUUUUUAUCAA